This 5169-nucleotide small RNA is filed under the name Pongo abelii (Sumatran orangutan). Its description in RNAcentral is "retained intron". The record is from RNAcentral. Lineage: Eukaryota; Metazoa; Chordata; Mammalia; Primates; Hominidae.
UGCUGGGUAGAAAGGUGGCUGGCUUAGCAGAGGACAAACGAAUUAAUCUUGCACCAGUCACUCUGGCCCAAGAAGCCUAUAGCUGGUGCACUUGGGGCAACAUAGACCCUAUAGACUUAGUAGCAAUGAUAGUAUUCAUAAUAAUAGCUAAUGCUUACUGAACACUCCCUGUGUGCCUGGUACCUGCUAAGUAUGUUAUUUACAUUGUGUCAUUUAAUCCUCGCAGUAGUCCUGUGGGGUAGAUCUUAUUAAUGUCAUCAUUUUCAGAUAAGUAAACAGAGGCACUGAGAGGUAGAUCAUAAGAUCACACAAAAAGUGAUGAAGCCAAGAUGUGAACUUGAACGGUCUCAGAAAUCUUUACUGUUAACCAUCAGUGAUAUAAUAACAGUAAGACCUUAGACUUCAUAUUUGUCACUGUGUCCCUACACAUCCUCUGGUUUUUAAUCCUCAAAAUUUUGUUGGAUAUGUUUUCUCAUUUCCAAGAAGAGAAAACUGAGGGGCAAAGAAAUACAGUGACAAUGCCAGGGUUACACAGUGUUCACCAUCCAAGUCUAGCCCAGAGCUCCCUCAGUGGUAUGACCAGGACCCCCUGUGUAAGAGCCCAUGCUCCGAGGUGUCCUGAGGAGUCCUUUCUAAUGGAAGAAGUUCUUACUUCCAUGUUGGUGCUUACAAGCCAGAGAAAAACAUCCUAGAGCUUCAAAACCAGGGCUUCGGGGGAGGGUGCCCUGUGUGGGUCCUAGCACAUGUGUAACAGGCAGAGGGAGGUCUUUGUGAGCUAAUAAUGCUGCAGCUCAUCCGAACUAGGUGUCCCUCCUGAGAGCUCCAGAGUGGUCUGUUUAAGCCAGCCUCAAGACGGGUCAGUCCAAGCCAGAUGUCAGGGGGACAAGGGGAAGUCAGCCUUUUCUCAGACCUGUCUGGCUGGGCAGGCCUGGGUCUCAGACUCAGCCCCAAAGUCUGUGGUCUCUGAGCUGACACAGCGUCAUGUGUAUGUGUGUGUUGUUCAGGAGGAGAUGAUCUUCCAGAUCCCAUGGAAGCAUGCUGCCAAGCAUGGCUGGGACAUCAACAAGGAUGCCUGUUUGUUCCGGAGCUGGGCCAUUCACACAGGCCGAUACAAAGCAGGGGAAAAGGAGCCAGAUCCCAAGACGUGGAAGGCCAACUUUCGCUGUGCCAUGAACUCCCUGCCAGAUAUCGAGGAGGUGAAAGACCAGAGCAGGAACAAGGGCAGCUCAGCUGUGCGAGUAUACCGGAUGCUUCCACCUCUCACCAAGAACCAGAGAAAAGGUAUCCAAGGACUCUGGGUCCUUGGGAAUCCCUCAGGGAGGGAGGGUAGAAGAAGGUCAGCUGGGGCUGGAGAGCCUGCACCAAGGCUGACAGCCUGUCUGCCCCACAGAAAGAAAGUCGAAGUCCAGCCGAGAUGCUAAGAGCAAGGCCAAGAGGAAGGUGAGUGUGGUCCUAAGCAGCCAGGUCACCUGUGGGCCAGGGUGAGCAGCGGAAGAAAUGCUAAGGUGGCCCUGGGCCUAAGCUGCUUUCUCCCUCCACAGUCAUGUGGGGAUUCCAGCCCUGAUACCUUCUCUGAUGGACUCAGCAGCUCCACUCUGCCUGAUGACCACAGCAGCUACACAGUUCCAGGCUACAUGCAGGACUUGGAGGUGGAGCGGGCCCUGACUCCAGGUGAGCUGGUCCAGGUCUGGCAGGGGACUCCACAGGUCAGUGGGAUGACUCCUUCUCUUGGAGGCAUGGUGCUGGCAUAUGGUGGCCCAUUAGUGCAGGCUGCAGGGUUUGGGGGCGGGGGGGUGGGGGGCGGGCGCUCGAUGUCUUGCAAACUAAGAAAGCACACAGCCUUGACCUGUGGCUUCUGCUGUCCCCCAGCACUGUCACCGUGUGCUGUCAGCAGCACUCUCCCCGACUGGCACAUCCCAGUGGAAGUUGUGCCGGACAGCACCAGUGAUCUGUACAACUUCCAGGUGUCACCCAUGCCCUCCACCUCUGAAGGUUGGUGCUCCUGGGGCCUGGCCUGCCUGCUUGACUGUCUGGGUCCUGUGAAGGGCUUCCUGAGAGAGAAAAGAUGCUCAGAACUCCACCUGGCACUGAGCUGAUUGAGUUGGGCAUUGCCCAGUCUUAGCCACCAUAGGGGGAGGCAAGCGAUGGGGACACUAGGAAGGCAGUUCAGAGUGGGCUGCAGCACAGUGGGGGCUGGUGAGAGGAGGGAAGGGGGCCAGGGGCUGCAUUUUGGGAUGCUGGUUCUCCUUCCUCCUCUGUAGCCCAGCAUCUGAAGGUGAGGAAGGAAGUGGGGUGGGGGUGGGAAGAGGCGUGGCUUCAGGUUUGAGAGGCUGAGUCACCAGGCCAGUGUCCUGUUCUGGAAUCUACAUGGCAGACAGGUACACCGGGAGGGUGUGUGUGUGUGUGUGUGUGUGUGUGUCACAGAGAGAGAGACAGACAGACAAAGGGCAGGGGGAUCUGGUGGGCUGGAACUGGAACUGCAGGGUGAGUGUGGCUGACUGCCAGCCAACCUCUGCUUUCCCCAUCCACAGCUACAACAGAUGAGGAUGAGGAAGGGAAAUUACCUGAGGACAUCAUGAAGGUAAAGCCCCUUCCUACCUGGGCACUCUUGAAGUGACCGUUUCUCAGUGAGGAGAGAGAACCAGUGAAGCUUCCAAAUCAGAGGAUGGGUAGCUGCUGUUGUCACCUGGCUGCUUGCAUCGUCCCACAAGUGCCACAUUCACGUGGCUUGACUGGUGGGAAAGCCUCCAUGGGAAGGGAAGGCAGGUGGGAGGCCUGGCCUCUGACAGGCCAUCCUGAAGCAAGCCUUGGGGCAUCAGACAGCUCUGUGAGUCAGGCACUAUGAGCGAUGGGUCCCUGGCCUGCAUCCUCCGCCCCAACAUGCCCCAGCCCUGCUAGUUCGGGAAAUGCACAUCAGGUUUCAAUAAUCAGCCUUUAGGAUCCGUUAAUAUGAUGAUGGCUUUAUAGAAAAAGUUAGCAAGUUACCCUCCAGGUUUUUUUUUUCUGCUUCAGUUUUGAAAGUGAAUAUAAAGAAGUUUUUUGCAGCCGGGGGCAGUGGCUCAUGCCUGUAAUCCCAGCACUUUGGAAGGCCAAGGUGGGUGGAUCACCUGAGGUCAGGAGUUCGAGACCAGCCUGACUAACAUGGUGAAACCCAUCUCUACCAAAAAUAUAAAAAUUAGCUGGGCCUGGUGGCGCAUGCCUGUAAUCCCAGAUACUCUGAAGGCUGAGGCAGGAGAAUCGCUUGAACCUGAGAGGCGGAGGUUGCAGUGAGCUGAGAUUGUGUCAUUGCACUCCAGCCUGGGCAACAAGAGCGAAACUCCAUUUCAAAAAAAAGUUUUUGCAGUAGUUGUAUGCCAGCUGUUCCAUCAGCCCAAAAAAUUGAGACAUGGACGUAGUUCCUUAUCUCUAGCUUUUCUAGUCAUCUUUUCUUGAUUUGUUAUGCUAACCUUUGUUUUAAGCCACAUUCCCUCUUACUAUGUCCUUACACAGUUGAGAGGGAAGUCGUGGAGAUACUAUACCAGAGAGUGGGUGUGAGAGGGGUGGGAAAAUGAAUUGAGGACCAGUGCCAACAUGCAUUUCUGCCUCCUCCCUUCUGGGCCCUUUUCCUGACUGCAGUGCACUUCUGCAUCCUAUCUGAGAUUGUGAAAAUGGCCAAGGGUGUGAUCCUGGCUGAGAGGAGCUGGCUCAUUGAGGGCAGGGCCACAGGGUGAGUCUGCACUGGAGGGAGUUGAUAGCCUCUUGCUCUUCUGUCCCCAGCUCUUGGAGCAGUCGGAGUGGCAGCCAACAAACGUGGAUGGGAAGGGGUACCUACUCAAUGAACCUGGAGUCCAGCCCACCUCUGUCUAUGGAGACUUUAGCUGUAAGGAGGAGCCAGAAGUUGACAGCCCAGGGGGUAAGAAGGCCCUAGAUCCUUAUGGCUUCUUAGAGGAGGGAGAACCACGUAGGGAUGGAGAAAGCUUGGGGGCAGGGCCAGGGAGCAGGGCGGUAAAGCACCUGGGGUACUGACACAUUGUGAAUUAGCUACUGCUGCCAUGCCUUAAGGUUUGCCUGAAGCUGAGUGGAUGUUUACUGCUGUGCUGGGAAGAGCAGAGUCCAUGUCUAUGGCCUUCAGGGGUAGGGGGAAGCACACCUUAUGCCACCGUCCCCUACCCUCAUACAACCUUCUUCACAUCUUCUAGGGGAUAUUGGGCUGAGUCUACAGCGUGUCUUCACAGAUCUGAAGAACAUGGAUGCCACCUGGCUGGACAGCCUGCUGACCCCAGUCCGGUUGCCCUCCAUCCAGGCCAUUCCCUGUGCACCGUAGCAGGGCCCCUGGGCCCCUCUUACUCCUCUAGGCGAGCAGGACCUGGCAUCAUGGUGGAUAUGGUGCAGAGAAGCUGUACUUCUGUGGGUCCCUCAACAGCCAAGUGUGACCCCACUGCCAAGUGGGGAUGGGGCCUCCCUCCUUGGGUCAUUGACCUCUCAGGGCCUGGCAGGCCAGUGUCUGGGUUUUUCUUGUGGGGUAAAGCUGGCCCUGCCUCCCAGAAAGAUGAGGUUCUGAGACCAGUGUGUCAGGUCAGGGACUUGGAUAGGAGUCAGUGUCUGGCUUUUUCCUCUGAGCCCAGCUGCCUGGAGAGGGUCUCGCUGUCACUGGCUGGCUCCUAGGGGAACAGACCAGUGACCCCAGAAAAGCAUAACACCAAUCCCAGGGCUGGCUCUGCACUAAGAGAAAAUUGCACUAAAUGAAUCUCGUUCCCAAAGAACUACCCUCUUUUCAGCUGAGCCCUGGGGACCGUUCCAAAGCCAGUGAAAUGUGAAGGAAAGUGGGGUCCUUCGGGGCGAUGCUCCCUCAGCCUCAGAGGAGCUCUACCCUGCUCCCUGCUUUGGCUGAGGGGCUUGGGAAAAAAACUUGGCACUUUUUCGUGUGGAUCUUGCCACAUUUCUGAUCAGAGGUGUACACUAACAUUUCCCCCGAGCUCUUGGCCUUUGCAUUUAUUUAUACAGUGCCUUGCUCGGCGCCCACCACCCCCUCAAGCCCCACAAGCCCUCAACAGGCCCAGGGAGGGAAGUGUGAGCGCCUUGGUAUGACUUAAAAUUGGAAAUGUCAUCUAACCAUUAAGUCACGUGUGAACACAUAAGGACGUUUGUAAAUAUGUACAUUUGUCUUUUUAUAAAAAGUAAAUUGUUUAU